GAUCAUGGCUCAGGAUGAACGCUAGCUACAGGCUUAACACAUGCAAGUUCGAGGGGCAGCAUGAACUUAGCUUGCUAAGUUUGAUGGCGACCGGCGCACGGGUGAGUAACACGUAUCCAACCUGCCGAUGACUCGGGGAUAGCCUUUCGAAAGAAAGAUUAAUACCCGAUGGCAUAGUUCUUCCGCAUGGUAGAACUAUUAAAGAAUUUCGGUCAUCGAUGGGGAUGCGUUCCAUUAGGUUGUUGGCGGGGUAACGGCCCACCAAGCCUUCGAUGGAUAGGGGUUCUGAGAGGAAGGUCCCCCACAUUGGAACUGAGACACGGUCCAAACUCCUACGGGAGGCAGCAGUGAGGAAUAUUGGUCAAUGGACGAGAGUCUGAACCAGCCAAGUAGCGUGAAGGAUGUCUGCCCUAUGGGUUGUAAACUUCUUUUAUACGGGAAUAAAGUGAGGCACGUGUGCCUUUUUGUAUGUACCGUAUGAAUAAGGAUCGGCUAACUCCGUG
This 503-nucleotide ribosomal RNA is filed under the name uncultured bacterium. RNAcentral describes it as "bacterial SSU rRNA". It matches the Rfam family "Bacterial small subunit ribosomal RNA", at positions 15 to 507 of the family's 1533-position model. The record is from RNAcentral.